AGCAGUCGCCACGGUAAUACGUAGGUCCCGAGCGUUGUCCGGAUUUAUUGGGCGUAAAGGGAGCGCAGGCGGUUUAGUAAGUCUGAAGUUAAAGGCAUUGGCUCAACCAAUGUAUGCUUUGGAAACUGUUAGACUUGAGUGCAGAAGGGGAGAGUGGAAUUCCAUGUGUAGCGGUGAAAUGCGUAGAUAUAUGGAGGAACGCCGGUGGCGAAAGCGGCUCUCUGGUCUGUCACUGACGCUGAGGCUCGAAAGCGUGGGUAGCGAACAGGAUUAGAUACCCCAGUAGUCCCUGUCUCUUAUACA
This 303-nucleotide ribosomal RNA is filed under the name uncultured bacterium. RNAcentral's name for it is "partial 16S ribosomal RNA". It matches the Rfam family "Bacterial small subunit ribosomal RNA", at positions 507 to 808 of the family's 1533-position model. The record is from RNAcentral.